This is a long non-coding RNA of Bactrocera neohumeralis, 781 nucleotides long. RefSeq lists it as uncharacterized. The record is from RefSeq and is a predicted model, not a curated record. The transcript is spliced from 2 exons. Lineage: Eukaryota; Metazoa; Arthropoda; Insecta; Diptera; Tephritidae.
AGUCAGUUUAUCAAGCCUGAUUUGUAGCGACCCGAUAGUUACUUCGUGUAUGAUGAAAUCAAUACAUCUUAACGUUCUUAUUGCUUGACUCAGCAGAUUCUUCUGAGUGCUCUCCUAUUGAAACUGGUGCACCUAGGUAACUUAGGUUUUUCGAAACCUAAUUUUUUCACUUUUGGGAACACUUUGAAAAAAUGAAAUCGGUUAAUUUGUUACUGAAAACCUAAAAAAAUUUAUAAUGAGAGUCAGCUCGUAAAUAGUGUGCAGAAACAGUAUUCAAGAUUACGAAACGAUAUUGGUGGCAUAACUUAAAAGUUUUGAAAAUUUAUCUAAAACGUACACAAAGACAAGUAUAAAAAUACUCAUAACUUCGUCAAUUUUAUCCCAAUUGAUCGGCAGUGGCUGAAAGAAGGAGUGAUUGGCGCCUAAUUGUGACCAUAGUGAAGGACUUUCCAAUGGCGCUCACACCGAAGAGUUGAACUUUAAAAUGUCUUUAAAAGUUCAAACGAUGUCAAAUCAUUUCUUAAUUUCGAGGAUAUCAUCAAAACAUUAAAUAAAAUAUCUUUGAAUGUGAAAGAGAAAGAUAUGUAAUCUUUAGAACAAAAGGCAACAAAACAAUGAAGCAUAAAAGCAAAUAAAAAGCGCAAUCUAUUUAGAUAUGCAAUUUUUACCAUUUCGUAAAAAUUUUGCAAAAUCUGAAAUGGAAAUAAAUUUUUUAUUUCUCUGCAAGAGUGUGUUGUAAAGCAAAAUGCAAUAAAAUUAUAAAAAAUAAUAUAAUAUAGUA